AGUACAAUUAUUGGGUCAUAUGGUAGUUGCAUGUUUAGUGUUUUUCUUUUUUUUUAAUAACUGCCAAACUGUUUUCCAGAGUGGCCAUACCAUUUUAUAUUCCCACCAGUAAU
Molecule: microRNA precursor, 113 nt
Filed under: Marmota monax (woodchuck)
Lineage: Eukaryota; Metazoa; Chordata; Mammalia; Rodentia; Sciuridae
Source: RNAcentral